AAAGAAGUUUGUACCUCUAAUGUGAAAUAUCAAGGAGCAAGGAAAAAAAUGGGGAAGAAAUAAGGCCAUUUCCCAUGUUCUACUAACUGAGAAAAAGGGUGUCUACAGCAAGUUGCUUGGUUUCUGGGACCCAGCUCCACAAUAAUGAGACUCCAUGGUUUCCUCUUGGCUCUCUUUGCUGUCUUCCAGGUACUGCACGCUAUCAGCAGUGCCCUCAAUUUUGAAAGACCUUGCUACCUCCGAGGGGGUAUCUGCCUGAAGCAGGGAACACCAAACUGUGAGCCUUUCCGAGGACCCUGCCGAGCUUUCACUGUUUGCUGCAAAAUAAGAAGUUGACACGCAAGAGGCUCAAGGAACCUGGCAGGCAAGGGAUCUGACUUUGGAUCCUGUGGUCUGAGUGAGAGCAACAUGUUCAAGUCUAAACCAUACAUCGCACUGCCAUCACCAUUGCUGGCUAUUGUGGCCAAAGAAGAGGUAGGCCGAGGGAGGAAGACAAUGGGGAGAAUUCAUUUAUAAUAUAACAUUUACAAAGAUUUUUAUUCAUAUAUAUAAUCCUUGAAAUCAUUCUGUUUUAUUGAACACAUUUUAUAGAUAUAGAAAUUAAAAUUUAGCCAGGUUGAAAAACUUGCCAAAAAAUAUCACAGACAAUAAGUAGAAAUGCCAAGUCAAAGACUCUUCUAUUUUCCAAAGAAACUCUGCCUGUAUGGGGCUGUUUGCAAAAGAAUUCACCAGUGGGAGGUGGGCUAGCUGGAGACCAGCUACUGCAGUAGCUAAAGUGUCAUGCAAAAAGCUCUCUGAGGAGUGGCACCAUGAUGCUGGGCCUGAGGAGGAAGCCUCUGUAGGUUUCUAUUGCUAUAAUAAACAUC
Mus pahari (shrew mouse) is the source of this 866-nucleotide long non-coding RNA. RefSeq lists it as uncharacterized. The record is from RefSeq and is a predicted model, not a curated record. The transcript has 3 exons. NCBI's taxonomy places the organism in Eukaryota, Metazoa, Chordata, Mammalia, Rodentia, Muridae.